This 326-nucleotide ribosomal RNA is filed under the name uncultured eukaryote. Its description in RNAcentral is "partial 18S ribosomal RNA". It matches the Rfam family "Eukaryotic small subunit ribosomal RNA", at positions 1469 to 1796 of the family's 1831-position model. The record is from RNAcentral.
CUCCUUAUAUGUUCUGGGCCGCACGCGCGCUACACUGAUGCAUUCAACGAGCCUAUCCUUGACCGACAGGUCCGGGUAAUCUUUGAAUCUGCAUCGUGACGGGGAUAGAUUAUUGCAAUUAUUAAUCUUCAACGAGGAAUGCCUAGUAGGCGCAAGUCAUCAGCUUGCGUCGAUUACGUCCCUGCCCUUUGUACACACCGCCCGUCGCUCCUACCGAUUGGGUGUGCUGGUGAAAUGUUCGGAUCGGCCGUUUGUCGCGGUUUCCGCGUCAUGUGGCUGAGAAGUUCAUUAAACCCUCCCACCUAGAGGAAGGAGAAGUCGUAACA